Molecule: ribosomal RNA, 253 nt
Filed under: uncultured bacterium
Lineage: Bacteria
Description: partial 16S ribosomal RNA
Rfam family: Bacterial small subunit ribosomal RNA
Source: RNAcentral
UACGUAGGGGGCAAGCGUUGUCCGGAAUCAUUGGGCGUAAAGAGCGUGUAGGCGGCCCGGUAAGUCCGCUGUGAAAGUCCAGGGCUCAACCCUGGGAUGCCGGUGGAUACUGUCGGGCUCGAGUCCGGAAGAGGAGUGUGGAAUUCCUGGUGUAGCGGUGAAAUGCGCAGAUAUCAGGAGGAACACCAAUGGCGAAGGCAGCACUCUGGGACGUGACUGACGCUGAGGCACGAAGGUCAGGGGAGCAAACGGG